RNAcentral lists this ribosomal RNA (734 nucleotides) under uncultured fungus. RNAcentral's name for it is "eukaryotic LSU rRNA". The stretch from base 443 to 734 matches the Rfam family "Eukaryotic large subunit ribosomal RNA", at positions 1 to 289 of the family's 3401-position model. Lineage: Eukaryota; Fungi. The record is from RNAcentral.
GGUUCUAUUCCCAAACCGUGUAUACAUACCUUUGUUGCUUUGGCAGGCCGCCUUUUAGGCGUCGGCUCCGGCUGACUGCGCUUGCCAGAGGACCCAAACUCGGUUGUUUAGUGAUGUCUGAGUACUAUAUAAUAGUUAAAACUUUCAACAACGGAUCUCUUGGUUCUGGCAUCGAUGAAGAACGCAGCGAAAUGCGAUAAGUAAUGUGAAUUGCAGAAUUCAGUGAAUCAUCGAAUCUUUGAACGCACAUUGCGCCCCUUGGUAUUCCGAGGGGCAUGCCUGUUCGAGCGUCAUUAUAACCACUCAAGCCUCGGCUUGGUCUUGGGGUUCGCGGUCUCGCGGCCCUUAAAAUCAGUGGCGGUGCCGUUUGGCUCUAAGCGUAGUAAUUCUCUCGCUUUAGGGUCCCGGCGGUUACCUGCCAGAACCCCCCAUUUUUUACGGUUGACCUCGGAUCAGGUAGGGAUACCCGCUGAACUUAAGCAUAUCAAUAAGCGGAGGAAAAGAAACCAACAGGGAUUGCCUCAGUAACGGCGAGUGAAGCGGCAACAGCUCAAAUUUGAAAUCUGGCUCUUUCAGGGUCCGAGUUGUAAUUUGUAGAAGAUGCUUUGGGUGUGGCUCCGGUCUAAGUUCUUUGGAACAGGACGUCAUAGAGGGUGAGAAUCCCGUACGUGACUGGGUGCUUCCGCUCGUGUAAAGCUCUUUCGACGAGUCGAGUUGUUUGGGAAUGCAGCUCA